UUGUUGAAUUUAGGGUUGAUGGUGACUAGAUAAGGAAGAUGAAGCUGGAGGGAUUCCAGGGAUAAGAGGGACCGGAGGGAGCGGAAUAGGGAGAGAAGGUGGCGGCAUAGGUAGCGAAGGCGGAUUUACGACUGGAACAGGAGGAAGAACCGGAAGAGGUGGAAGAGUUGGAAUUGUUGGAACCGGUGGGAGAGUUGGUGUUGCCGGGGGAGAAGGAAGUAGCGGAAUCGGUGGUAGAGUUGGUGUUGCUGGAGGAGAGGGAAGUAGGGGAAUUGGAGGGAGAGUUGGGGGAGACGGGAUCAACGGGUUUGGAGGAAGAGUUGGGGUUGGGAUAGAAGGGAUCAGAGGGUUUGGAGGGAUGACGGAUGGCGGGUUUAGCGGGUUUGGAGGAAGGAAGAAGAAAUCGGGUUUUAGCACUUCGGUUUUCUUGUCUUCCAAGGAACCAUAUUUCUUGCUAUGCAAGGAAGCUGAUUUCCGUGAUCCUGAUGUUCCUGGAGGAAGAAGAGGAGGAAUUGUAGGAAGAGGCAAGUCCGGAAGCGGAGGUACGAUUGGGAGAUUUGGGAUAGCGGAAGGAGUAGGCGGAUCUUGGAUCGGUGGAGGGAAUGAGGGAUCCGGUAAAAGAGGCUUGGUGGUUUGGCCGAGGUUGACUUGUUUUUGGCUACAAAUCUCUGGUUGGUUUUCGGGUUUGAAAGUGAAGAAUCCUGCGGAGAAGACCCUAGUGU
RNAcentral lists this long non-coding RNA (722 nucleotides) under Capsella grandiflora. RNAcentral's name for it is "long non-coding RNA (CGRA_LNC001529)". The record is from RNAcentral. Lineage: Eukaryota; Viridiplantae; Streptophyta; Magnoliopsida; Brassicales; Brassicaceae.